Molecule: ribosomal RNA, 253 nt
Filed under: uncultured bacterium
Lineage: Bacteria
Description: partial 16S ribosomal RNA
Rfam family: Bacterial small subunit ribosomal RNA
Source: RNAcentral
UACGUAGGGUCCGAGCGUUGUCCGGAAUUACUGGGCGUAAAGAGCUCGUAGGUGGUUUGUCACGUUGUUCGUGAAAACUCACAGCUCAACUGUGGGCGUGCGGGCGAUACGGGCAGACUGGAGUACUGCAGGGGAGACUGGAAUUCCUGGUGUAGCGGUGGAAUGCGCAGAUAUCAGGAGGAACACCGGUGGCGAAGGCGGGUCUCUGGGCAGUAACUGACGCUGAGGGGCGAAAGCGUGGGGAGCGAACAGG